AAUAGAUACCCCGGUAGUCCAUGCCGUAAACGUUGGGAACUAGAUGUAGGGCCUGUUCCACGGGUUCUGUGUCGUAGCUAACGCAUUAAGUUCCCCGCCUGGGGAGUACGGCCGCAAGGCUAAAACUCAAAGGAAUUGACGGGGGCCCGCACAAGCGGCGGAGCAUGCGGAUUAAUUCGAUGCAACGCGAAGAACCUUACCAAGGCUUGACAUAUAGAAGAACACUGCAGAGAUGCAGGACUCUUUGGACACUUCUAUACAGGUGGUGCAUGGUUGUCGUCAGCUCGUGUCGUGAGAUGUUCGGUUAAGUCCGGCAACGAGCGCAACCCUCGUCCUAUGUUGCCAGCACGUUAUGGUGGGAACUCAUGGGAUACUGCCGUGGUCAACACGGAGGAAGGUGGGGAUGACGUCAAAUCAUCAUGCCCCUUAUGUCUUGGGCUUCACGCAUGCUACAAUGGCCGGUACAAAGGGCUGCGAUACCGCAAGGUGGAGCGAAUCCCAAAAAGCCGGUCUCAGUUCGGAUUGGGGU
This 529-nucleotide ribosomal RNA is filed under the name uncultured bacterium. RNAcentral's name for it is "bacterial SSU rRNA". It matches the Rfam family "Bacterial small subunit ribosomal RNA", at positions 777 to 1304 of the family's 1533-position model. The record is from RNAcentral.